RNAcentral lists this long non-coding RNA (609 nucleotides) under Homo sapiens (human). Its description in RNAcentral is "non-protein coding lnc-HSFY1-7:1". The record is from RNAcentral. Lineage: Eukaryota; Metazoa; Chordata; Mammalia; Primates; Hominidae.
GUGGCAGUAAAUUCAUCACUUUUUAAAGUAAUUCUCCUUGGAGAUGGUGAAUUGGGAGGUGAAGUUGGGAGAAAUUCACUUAUAAAUAGAUUUUUAACUAAUAAGUUUGAUAUAGAGCUAUUUAAGACAAUAGAUGUGAAAUUUUUAAAUAAGAUUUGGAAGUGGAUAAACAUUUUGGUGCCACGCAGAUUUGGGACAUGUCAGGUCAGGAGUGAUUCUAAAGCCUGAGGACAUCAUUUUACAGAGAUUCUGUCUGCCGCCUGCUUACUUUUGUUAUCGAUGAUUCACAAAGCUUCCAGAACUUUAGUAACUGGAAGAAAGAAUUCAUAUAUUAUACAAAUGUGGAAGAACAAGAGAGCUUUCCUUCUGUGGUUCUGAAUAACAAGACUGACAUAAACAAACAGCAGGUGUCUGCAAAAUAAACCCAAGCUUGUGCAUGGAUGACGGCUAUUAUUUUUACUUUGAAACAAGUGCAAAAGGUGCCACAAGUGCAGCAGCAGCCUUUGAGGAGGCGGUUUGAAGAGUUCCUGUGAACAAGGUUUGUUGGAUCAGUUGACACACACAGACACAGUCAAUCUUCAUUGAAAGCCCAGGACUAGCUCAUCUUGC